This 253-nucleotide ribosomal RNA is filed under the name uncultured bacterium. Its description in RNAcentral is "partial 16S ribosomal RNA". It matches the Rfam family "Bacterial small subunit ribosomal RNA", at positions 524 to 776 of the family's 1533-position model. The record is from RNAcentral.
UACAGAGGGUGCAAGCGUUGUUCGGAAUUAUUGGGCGUAAAGGGCGCGUAGGCGGCUUCGUGUGUCCGGUGUGAAAUCCCACCUCUCAAAGGUGGAGUUGCGCCGGAAACUAUGAAGCUUGAGUGCCGGAGAGGGUGGCGGAAUUCCCGGUGUAGAGGUGAAAUUCGUAGAUAUCGGGAAGAACACCGGUGGCGAAGGCGGCCACCUGGACGGCUACUGACGCUGAGGCGCGAAAGCGUGGGGAGCAAACAGG